CUAUACAUGCAAGUCGAGCGGACAGAUGGGAGCUUGCUCCCUGAUGUUAGCGGCGGACGGGUGAGUAACACGUGGGUAACCUGCCUGUAAGACUGGGAUAACUCCGGGAAACCGGGGCUAAUACCGGAUGNUUGUUUGAACCGCAUGGUUCAGACAUAAAAGGUGGCUUCGGCUACCACUUACAGAUGGACCCGCGGCGCAUUAGCUAGUUGGUGAGGUAACGGCUCACCAAGGCGACGAUGCGUAGCCGACCUGAGAGGGUGAUCGGCCACACUGGGACUGAGACACGGCCCAGACUCCUACGGGAGGCAGCAGUAGGGAAUCUUCCGCAAUGGACGAAAGUCUGACGGAGCAACGCCGCGUGAGUGAUGAAGGUUUUCGGAUCGUAAAGCUCUGUUGUUAGGGAAGAACAAGUGCCGUUCAAAUAGGGCGGCACCUUGACGGUACCUAACCAGAAAGCCACGGCUAACUACGUGCCAGCAGCCGCGGUAAUACGUAGGUGGCAAGCGUUGUCCGGAAUUAUUGGGCGUAAAGGGCUCGCAGGCGGUUUCUUAAGUCUGAUGUGAAAGCCCCCGGCUCAACCGGGGAGGGUCAUUGGAAACUGGGGAACUUGAGUGCAGAAGAGGAGAGUGGAAUUCCACGUGUAGCGGUGAAAUGCGUAGAGAUGUGGAGGAACACCAGUGGCGAAGGCGACUCUCUGGUCUGUAACUGACGCUGAGGAGCGAAAGCGUGGGGAGCGAACAGGAUUAGAUACCCUGGUAGUCCACGCCG
RNAcentral lists this ribosomal RNA (771 nucleotides) under unidentified microorganism. RNAcentral describes it as "bacterial SSU rRNA". It matches the Rfam family "Bacterial small subunit ribosomal RNA", at positions 49 to 802 of the family's 1533-position model. The record is from RNAcentral.